CAUGAAGCCGGAAUUGCUAGUAAUGGCAGGUCAGCAUACUGCCGUGAAUACGUUCCCGGGCCUUGUACACACCGCCCGUCACACCAUGAGAGUUGGGAAUACCCGAAGCCUGUGAGCUAACUUUUAGAGGCAGCAGUCGAAGGUAGAAUCAAUGAUUGGGGUGAAGUCGUAACAAGGUAGC
RNAcentral lists this ribosomal RNA (181 nucleotides) under uncultured bacterium. RNAcentral describes it as "partial 16S ribosomal RNA". It matches the Rfam family "Bacterial small subunit ribosomal RNA", at positions 1319 to 1500 of the family's 1533-position model. The record is from RNAcentral.